Long non-coding RNA from Neopelma chrysocephalum (saffron-crested tyrant-manakin), 369 nucleotides. RefSeq lists it as uncharacterized. The transcript is spliced from 4 exons. The record is from RefSeq and is a predicted model, not a curated record. Lineage: Eukaryota; Metazoa; Chordata; Aves; Passeriformes; Pipridae.
GGAAUGAAGAGGGAGGUCAGGAUGAUGUCUCUGCCGUGAUCUAAACGCAGGACAGCCGAAAACCCAGAGGAGGAAUCAACAUUCCAGGACGCGUACAUUGAUAAGCUACACUACAGCAGCCUACAGAACUGAGGUAUGAGACUGAGAAAGAGAGAUCACACAGCAGACCAAGGAGAAAGGACUCAAAGCUACUUUCUUGGACUUCGUGAAGAGAAAAAACUGCAGCAAACAGCUGAAGGUUGGUUAGGGAGUGUUCAGGGGCCAGAACACUCCCACGAGAGAGAGACUGGUUACCCAGCAGCCUUGAAAGGCUCUUCCUGGACUAAAGGUAAAGGGAGGGGCUUAAAAGGACUGAGACAAGUGUAAUAA